RNA transcript from Triplophysa rosa, 3451 nucleotides. It is a transcript of the gene named CASP8 and FADD-like apoptosis regulator a, with no coding region annotated. The record is from RefSeq and is a predicted model, not a curated record. The transcript has 5 exons. NCBI's taxonomy places the organism in Eukaryota, Metazoa, Chordata, Actinopteri, Cypriniformes, Nemacheilidae.
GAGGGGGGAUGCGCUUAACCCGGUGGGGCAAUGUCCGAAAAAUAAACCCAGCGCUAUAAUGAUACACGUGGUUAAAAUGCGUAAAUUCACUUAUUGUGCAGAACAGGAUAGGAAAACGACAUGCGUUUUUUUGCGAUCGGUCAAAGAAGCAUCAUACUGACAUCAUACAGUUUCAAAAGCAUCUGAUUCGGGGUGUAACAAUGAGCGAAGGGACAUCAGGAGACACUAAUAGUAUGGAACUGGAGGCUGGCAUUACUGCAGAGGAAACCCCAGUGAACACACUGCAGAGGUUAACUGAGGAUGAGGGAACCACCACUCGAAGGAAGAAGAAGAAGAAGAAGAAGAAAGAGAUCAUCUACCGCUCAGACUUGGAGGUUGAGGAUGCAGGAGAGGGGACCUCAGCUGAUGUGGAUGGACACCUUGGUCUUCCAUUUGAAGAGGAUGAGCAGGAUAUACCUCCUGACAGCCGCUUCGUGACCCUGACUGGCACCAUCACGCGCGGAAAACGGAAAGGCCAAAUGGUGGACAUCUAUAUGACUCUUACUGACAAAGAGCUGAGAGACAUGGCGCGUUCCAAAGAGCGUCUGGAUGCGGAGUGUGACGGGGUUGCCGAAGCUAAGCAAAAACCUUGCACGCUAGGGGUCAGCCAGGGACCCCAUGUUCUCCUCUGGAGCCUCUCCUGCUCUCCUUUCAUCUUCCUUCUGUCCUUUAUCACAUCAUUUUAUUACGGAACGCUCACCUGGUAUAACAUCUUCUUGGUUUACAAUGAGGAGCGCUCCUUUCUGCACAAGAUCACACUGUGUCCUUUGCUCAUCUUGUUGUAUCCGGUGCUGAUCAUGGUGUUGUGUGUUUGUAUGGGGGUGUAUGCUGCUGUGAACCAGCUCUCAUGGGUGUUUGGAGAAUGGUGGCUGGCGGUGAGGGACCUUGAGAAGGGCUUCUGUGGGUGGAUGUGUGGGAAACUAGGGUUGGAAGACUGUGCCCCGUAUAACGUGGUCGAGCUUCUGGAUUCUGACACUCUGUCUGGGACACUCCAGGGGAGGCGGAUGGAAGAUGUUGAGCAGACGUCCUCUUUGUGAAAUGGGAAAUAUGUAAAAACAUUUUAUGAUUAAAGGAAAGAUUAAAGUUGAGCUCUGUAGAUAGCAUCUGUGGCAUGCUUUGGAUUUCCACAGAAAAUUGCUGUAUUACUUCCACUGUAUAUAUUUUCUGUGGUAACUGACAAGACAUCACAGAUGUUUAAAAGAUUGUCCGUCUUAAUAAAGUAGACUUGGUGCUAGGGUAUCAUCCGUAAGGUAGACAGGAUUCUGGUGUGCUUUUGCGGUUUUAAAGUGAAGUUGAAAGUUCUCCAUCACAAGAAAUGAUGGACUAUACCAACCACUGACAUACACUUGAUACAGUAGGAACAAGGAUUAUUGGCAAAAGUUGAAUUGUAGCUCUAGGCCGUUGACGAAGAAAUGAGGUUUUGUGUUGCCUUCACUUGCUGUUUCAUCAUCUCGAUACAAGAGACUGUGUUAUAGCUCUCAGUAGGCGGAAAUACUUGAGAUAUUUAAGUUCCACCCUGAAUUUUUUUAUGCAUUUUUGUUACAGUUUCAACUCUUACAUCACCUACUUGUCAUGAGAGAUAAUUUCACUUACUGUUUUACAUGGGCAAAAGUGGGCUUAUUUCCAGACCCAGUAGCAUUUUAACCUCAAUGUAGAUUCGUUCACAUUCAACGUACACUUGCUCAGUUUCAAGUUUAUUAUUGUAUUAUAUUCUGCUCAUUGUGUGAAACCCAAAUCACUGAACUAUUGUGUUAGUAUUGAGAACAGUGUGGUGUUUCGUGUUUCUUACAAGGUAUAAUAAUGGUGCUAAUGGUGCUCGCCAAGGAUCCCAGCCAUUUAAAACCAGACACUGUAUCACAUUAAAGAUCUCGGCCCUGUUGAAAAGAACUUGGUGUACGAGGGUAUCAUCUUACUUUCAAAAACAUUUCAACAGGAAAUCCCCAAGAUGAUUGCACAUGCAUACUUUCGGUGGGAUGGUUCUCAGUGCAUCUGAGGAAUUGCAUAGUCAAUAAGUGGAUCAGCUCUGACAAUGAAGUUGUAUACCUCUUCUCCAUGUCUGUUAUUUAUAGGGGCAUUCUAUACGUUUGUUGCCAUUGCAUCUGAACUGCAUAACUUCUGAAAUAUGUAUUUAUUAAGUUCAUACAUGCUGUUGUAUUAAAUCUGCAGGUGGAGCAAUUGCAAACAUGCAGAUUCAGUCUGUGUUACACAGUAUAUUUCUUUUGUUUCAGUUUGGCAACCAAUUGUGCUAUACGGUUGACACUUAUCAAUGCCACAGCAGAAGAACUUCGCCUUAAACUUUCACAUAACAACACUUGAAUGAAACUGUCUUCACGUAGACUGUUUUUCUGCAUACAUGGUUUAAAAGCACAAGCUUUGUUUUUUAAAGCAUGAAUUUUAAGUUUUGUUUGCACACUUGUCUUCAGUUAUUUGCACAGGAUUUGUAACACUGCUGAUUCAUUAUCAACGGGUUCUAAUAAAGAUUUUUUUUCCUGUUUGUCAUUUUAGUUUAUAGCACUGAGGAGUGUUUCGUACAUGGUUGCUAAAAACAGCGACGCACACACCUUUUUAAAGACGUGCAUUGCUUAUAUGUAAUUACCAAACCCUCUUUAGUCAUCUGAAUAUCUUAAAACCAUCAUUCUAAUUCCCUACCGGGGUUUUUCCAAGGGCUCUAAAUUAACCAGUUGAUUAGAGAAUCAGCACUGGUGAGUUAAAAUGAGUAAAUACUUAAAAUACGCCAUAGUACAUAGCUGAUAAGUGACCAUAACUGAUAUUGUCAACUUUACGCCCCGCCGCAAGAACCGACAGGCGGCUGACAUCAAAGUACCGCGAGAGCGAUUCGGAUAACCAUAAGGACUUUGCCUUCGAAUCGUUAUCGAGGUACUUUGUUUGACGUAAUCCGCCUGACAGUUCUUGAAGCGCGUAAAUGAAAAACGCCCACGCCUUCUCUUUAUGAGAGGGCGGGGCUUGAUUCCAAGCGCGUACACGUCCAUACUUUCGUUUUCUUUAAAGGUCGCCGAAGAUGGAGGCAGACAGUUUUAAAGCAUUUCCACAGAAACGCCUCUAUACAGGGACUAUGACCAGAGCUUUUGGCCCUCCGAUCAGCGCAUAAUAAAGGGGUAAAUCCAGAGAGGCUGUUACAUGGAAAUGUGAUGAGGCUAUAAUGGGUUUAUCUCCAAUGUAAAGAUGAAUAUUGCCCUGAGUUUAAUUUAUAUAAGAAAAAAAUCAAUAAAAAAAAUAAAGGGUGUUAAAAAUGUGUAAAACCUUUUAAAAUGACUGCUUGUUUUGCUCAAGCAGUAAGCUACAACAUACAGAAUCUACAGUAUACAGAAUCAUACAGUGAAAUGGCGGAUGGAUUUUCUAUAAUGGUUAACAAUGUGACAGCAUCUCUCAGUCAAGAGGAGUGUAGGACCCU